RNAcentral lists this ribosomal RNA (630 nucleotides) under Pleurotus sp. hybrid 42. RNAcentral describes it as "eukaryotic LSU rRNA". The stretch from base 223 to 376 matches the Rfam family "5.8S ribosomal RNA". The record is from RNAcentral. Lineage: Eukaryota; Fungi; Basidiomycota; Agaricomycetes; Agaricales; Pleurotaceae.
UGUCGGAGUUGUUGCUGGCCUCUAGGGGCAUGUGCACGCUUCACUAGUCUUUCAACCACCUGUGAACUUUUGAUAGAUCUGUGAAGUCGUCUCUCAAGUCGUCAGACUUGGUUGCUGGGAUUUAAACGUCUCGGUGUGACUACGCAGUCUAUUUACUUACACACCCCAAAUGUAUGUCUACGAAUGUCAUUUAAUGGGCCUUGUGCCUUUAAACCAUAAUACAACUUUCAACAACGGAUCUCUUGGCUCUCGCAUCGAUGAAGAACGCAGCGAAAUGCGAUAAGUAAUGUGAAUUGCAGAAUUCAGUGAAUCAUCGAAUCUUUGAACGCACCUUGCGCCCCUUGGUAUUCCGAGGGGCAUGCCUGUUUGAGUGUCAUUAAAUUCUCAAACUCACUUUGGUUUCUUUCCAAUUGUGAUGUUUGGAUUGUUGGGGGCUGCUGGCCUUGACAGGUCGGCUCCUCUUAAAUGCAUUAGCAGGACUUCUCAUUGCCUCUGCGCAUGAUGUGAUAAUUAUCACUCAUCAAUAGCACGCAUGAAUAGAGUCCAGCUCUCUAAUCGUCCGCAAGGACAAUUUGANCAAUUUGACCUCAAAUCAGGUAGGACUACCCGCUGAACUUAAGCAUAUCAAUA